Non-coding RNA from Vicugna pacos (alpaca), 487 nucleotides. NCBI's taxonomy places the organism in Eukaryota, Metazoa, Chordata, Mammalia, Artiodactyla, Camelidae. The record is from RefSeq and is a predicted model, not a curated record.
CUGCACCAUUGUCCCAUUCCACUGGCCGAAUAUGAGAUACCCAGCUGUCCCUGCACCAUUUGUUGAAUAGACUAUUCUUUCAAUGGAGGGUUUUUGACACCCUUGUGGAAAACUGAAUGUAAAUAUAAGGAGACUGAGAAUUAGGUCUUCUCUUUUGGGUGGAUCUCAUUAUCAAUGACGGGAAGUUAUAAGGAAAAAGAUAUUGAUUCAUCCUGAGAAAACAUUUUUCUGAGCGUCAGCAGUGAAGAGGGUGAACACUGAAGAAGGUGAUCAUUGUUCGAAUGAGAUGAGCCCCGGGUUGUACGGAGUCAGCAUCCCUGUCCUGGACACGGCACAUUUAGAGCUGCGUGGUGGGUGAGGCGGCGCGGCCGCGCAGGGAAUGAGGAUGCCGGGCCGUUGGGCUGUGCUCAGGCCCGGUGGGGCUUUCUCCUAAGGGCAGUGGACCGUCAUUGACAGAUUUUAAGUAGAGGAGUGGAGUGCUAUCUUA